RNAcentral lists this transfer RNA (70 nucleotides) under Camelus bactrianus (Bactrian camel). It matches the Rfam family "tRNA". From Rfam's summary of the family: Transfer RNA (tRNA) molecules are approximately 80 nucleotides in length. Lineage: Eukaryota; Metazoa; Chordata; Mammalia; Artiodactyla; Camelidae. RNAcentral also lists the same sequence under 1 other name. The record is from Rfam by way of RNAcentral.
GUGGGUAUAACUCAUUGGUAGAGCCUGCUUAGCAUGCAUGAGGUCCUGGGUUCAAUUCCCAGUACCACCA